Molecule: ribosomal RNA, 886 nt
Filed under: Roccellina cerebriformis
Lineage: Eukaryota; Fungi; Ascomycota; Arthoniomycetes; Arthoniales; Roccellaceae
Description: LSU rRNA
Rfam family: Eukaryotic large subunit ribosomal RNA
Source: RNAcentral
AUAUCAAUAAGCGGAGGAAAAGAAACCAACAGGGAUUGCCCCAGUAACGGCGAGUGAAGCGGCAACAGCUCAAAUUUGAAAUCUGGCCCCCGUGGGGUCCGAGUUGUAAUUUGCAGAGGAUGCUUCGGCGUCGGCCCCGGGCCAAGCCCCCUGGAACGGGGCGUCCUAGAGGGUGAGAGCCCCGUACCCUUCCGGGUGUCCUUCGCCGUGUGAAGCUCCUUCGACGAGUCGAGUUGUUUGGGAAUGCAGCUCUAAGCGGGAGGUAAAUUUCUUCUAAGGCUAAAUACCGGCCAGAGACCGAUAGCGCACAAGUAGAGUGAUCGAAAGAUGAAAAGCACUUUGGAAAGAGAGUUAAAGAGCACGUGAAAUUGUUGAAAGGGAAGCUCUUGCCGCCAGACUUGCCGCGGUUGCUCGGCCGUCCCCAGGGGCGGCGUACUCUUCCGCCGGCAGGCCAGCGUCGGUUCGGGCGGCCGGAUAAAGGCCCCGGGAACGUGGCACCCCCCGGGGUGUGUUAUAGCCCGGGGUGCAAUGCGGUCAGCCCGGUCCGAGGCAUGCGUUCGCGAGGACGCUGGCGUAAUGGCCGCAAGCGACCCGUCUUGAAACACGGACCAAGGAGUCUAACAUCUGUGCGAGUGUUUGGGCGUCAAACCCAUGCGCGUAAUGAAAGUGAACGGAGGUGGGAACCCCCUCGAGGGGCGCACCAUCGACCGAUCCUGAUGUCUUCGGAUGGAUUUGAGUAAGAGCAUAGCUGUUGGGACCCGAAAGAUGGUGAACUAUUCCCGGAUAGGGUGAAGCCAGGGGAAACUCUGGUGGAGGCUCGCAGCGGUUCUGACGUGCAAAUCGAUCGUCAAAUCUAGGAAUAGGGGCGAAAGACUAAUCGAACCAU